CCCUUAGAUGUUCUGGGCCGCACGCGUGCUACACUGAGUGGAUCAGCGGGUCAGGUUGCGCGAAAGUGUUUCCUAAUCUUGAAAUCCGCUCGUGAUGGGGAUUGACGGUUGCAAUUUUCCGUCAUGAACGAGGAAUACCUUGUAAGCGCGGGUCAUCAUCCCGCGCUGAAUACGUCCCUGCCCUUUGUACACACCGCCCGUCGCUCCUACCGAUUGAGUGGUCCGGUGAGGCUUUGGGAUCUGAGCAAAGAGAGCGUUUCGCUCGUUUUGCCCGGAAAACUCAGUCGAACCUUACCAUUUAGAGGAAGGAGAAGUCGUAACA
RNAcentral lists this ribosomal RNA (322 nucleotides) under uncultured eukaryote. RNAcentral's name for it is "partial 18S ribosomal RNA". It matches the Rfam family "Eukaryotic small subunit ribosomal RNA", at positions 1470 to 1796 of the family's 1831-position model. The record is from RNAcentral.